RNAcentral lists this ribosomal RNA (554 nucleotides) under Knufia aspidiotus. RNAcentral describes it as "eukaryotic LSU rRNA". The stretch from base 168 to 322 matches the Rfam family "5.8S ribosomal RNA". The record is from RNAcentral. Lineage: Eukaryota; Fungi; Ascomycota; Eurotiomycetes; Chaetothyriales; Trichomeriaceae.
GGCCCGACCUCCCAACCCUUUGUCUACCUUACCACAACGUUGCUUCGGCGGAUCGGUCUUCGGACCGCCGGGCGUGCAAACGCCUGGAGAGUGUCCGCCGAUGGCCCAACCAAAAACUCUUGAACCAAAACAUGUCGUCUGAAUUUAUUUGAUAUAAUCAAAAACAAAACUUUCAACAACGGAUCUCUUGGUUCUGGCAUCGAUGAAGAACGCAGCGAAAUGCGAUAAGUAAUGCGAAUUGCAGAAUUUCCGUGAGUCAUCGAAUCUUUGAACGCACAUUGCGCCCACUGGUAUUCCGGUGGGCAUGCCUGUUCGAGCGUCAUUAUCCUCCCUCAAACCUCGGGUUUGGUGUUGGGCCCGCGUCGGUCGUCCGCGACCGACUGGCCCCAAAGACAAUGACGGCGUCCGUGGGACCCUCGGUGCAACGAGCUUUUCGGAACACGCGUCCAGUAUCAAGGACCUUCCGGGCCGGUCUAACCUCCAAUUUAUCACAAGGUUGACCUCGGAUCAGGUAAGAAUACCCGCUGAACUUAAGCAUAUCAAUAAGCGGAGGA